CUCAUCUUUGCAUAUGGGAGCUCCCAUGAUAUCUAUCAGAAGCUCUCUCUUCUCAGAUACUACAAAUUUGGCCUGAGUUGCUUCUUUCUGGAUUUUCUUUGCAUCCAAACGGUUCAAUUAUUGCAUGUGGUUUUGAGUAUAUAUUUUGUUGCUGUUUGAUAUAUAUGCCUAUCGAGACGAAGGUUAUCCAGAAGCGUUUGUUGGAUCAGAAUUUUAUUCCUUUCUGAGAUAAUUCUUCUAUUAAGGAUGUGCGAAACAUGGAAAAUUAUUACCUCGCAGUGAUUGAAGCUUAAUUCCUUUGGUGAGCCAAAAACAGAGACUUCCCAAUGAAACUCAAGGCAUUAUAAAACAGAGUUGAAUUCUCCAGCCAAAAAGGUCAGUAUUUAUUUUUCAGUAUUUUUUGUUUCUUUGUUUGGCCCUAAUGUCAAUUUUUGCUAUGAAGGUGUUGCAUGUGUACAUGUGUGUGGUUUUUUGGGAGAAUUACACAUAAGUAUCACACAGCACUGGCAAAAAGGCCAAAAAAAAAAUCAAAAAAAAAGAAAAACAGAAAAAGACAACUACA
Prosopis cineraria is the source of this 562-nucleotide long non-coding RNA. RefSeq lists it as uncharacterized. NCBI's taxonomy places the organism in Eukaryota, Viridiplantae, Streptophyta, Magnoliopsida, Fabales, Fabaceae. The record is from RefSeq and is a predicted model, not a curated record. The transcript has 3 exons.